ACAAUUCAGGUAGUGGAGUCUGAAUUUAUAAGGACAUAAGCAGUGUUAAUGACAGGACCUUCCAGAUGUUAUCCAUUCAUAAGGUCUUUGUAAGUUGGAAACAACUUGACAACAUGUAACAAAAGCUCUGAGCAUGAUUAACUCUGUAUCCAAAUAUAGGUUUUAUUUUGAAUUAAUAAAAUGUGCUUUCUUUGUUUUCUUACAAUACCGAAUCUUGAUUCCACCCACCUACCCCACACAGAUAUUACCAUGAAACGUGUGGGCUGCAAAAUUUAGUACAUGUGAUAGGAAAGGAGCCAGACCUGUAUCUGUGUGCCUUCAAAAAACUAGGAUUACAGUUUGACAUGCAUGUAUAAAAUGUUGCUCAUACACAUUUAUUUAAAGGAAAUGAAUCAAUAUCUAAAUUAAUAAGAAUGUGCUUCUUUUUGCAGAUGAAUGAAAAGAUCAAGAGAGUUCCAAGGCAUCCCCCACAAUUAUUCAUUUUUAAUGAAGAAAAUUAAUCUUGCAAAUAAAGAUGGAAUAUACAGCUGUCGAUGCUGAAGCAUCCAAGACUAUCUCACUAAUAUUGUUACAUAAAUAACAAAACAAAAAUCAAGCUAUCUCUGGAGGCAAAAAAUGUUGAAACUGAGGGUGUCCUACUUUGAGCACAUCAUGAGAAGGCAGGAUUCUCCAGAAAAGACAUAAUUGUGAGCACAUGAAUCAAGCAGAUAAAGAAUGCAGACUUGAAUGUGUUGACAUUGUUGAGAUUGGUUUUCAAAAACAUGAGGUUGGCUGCCGUUGAACACAUGGUAGGAUCUAACAUGAAUAUUGACAUGAUUCAGCAAGGAAACUCUUAUAUUCAUCUGAUGUUAUAAUUCUAAGCACUUCACUCGAUGGUAGAGAACACGCAGAGAUGUACAAGAUGAGAAACACCUGUGAAGAAGAGAGAAGAAACAGUAGAGCCAAACAACUGCAAGCUGAUGCCCACCAAGUGAAUCUGACAAUGGAAACUGAAAUCCUCCAAGCCAAGCAUCCUGGAAAUUUUAACAAUUGUAUCUGGAACCACUGCUGCCCCCUAGGGCAGCUGUGGAACUUUGCAGGUGCCAUGGUAACCACUGGUAGAAGCUCUGUUGUUAAACAUUAUUUGUUUUGAUCGCUUCUCCUUGGUUGCAUUUUACAUUAUUUGGUUGUAUCAUACUGGACAAUUUGAAAAAAAAAUAUUUUAUCCAUUAAAAAGCAACAUCACUGCAGCAUCAAACACUGGUUAUCGGAAACAUUAAUGAAAGUAUGGCAUGUUCUAGCAAAAUUGCUUUUCCACAGAAAAAAUAUAUUUAAAAAUACUUAUUUACAAUGUUACUGAAAUAACUGUUUGCUGACAACUCAAACUUUUUAUCAAGAGCAGACAUGAAAAGCAACUGGGAAAACUUCCUUGCUUAUAUAGCUUAUGCGGCACCAAGCUGGUUUUACAACAUAUUUAAAACUAUUACAAACAUUAUAAUUCAAAUAGAAACAACAAUGGACUCUUUAUUCUACAGGAUGUAAGUAUAAACAAACAGGCAAUGUGUUGAUUCUCAGUUGAAAUAAACAGGAAUGUAAAUUCA
Pogona vitticeps (central bearded dragon) is the source of this 1580-nucleotide long non-coding RNA. The record is from Ensembl. Lineage: Eukaryota; Metazoa; Chordata; Lepidosauria; Squamata; Agamidae.